CCCAGGUUGUUCAACUGGUAAAGAAAUCUGCCUGCUAUGCAGGAGAUCAGGUUCAAUUCCUGGGUUGGGA
RNAcentral lists this transfer RNA (70 nucleotides) under Capra hircus (goat). It matches the Rfam family "tRNA". From Rfam's summary of the family: Transfer RNA (tRNA) molecules are approximately 80 nucleotides in length. RNAcentral also lists the same sequence under 1 other name. The record is from Rfam by way of RNAcentral. Lineage: Eukaryota; Metazoa; Chordata; Mammalia; Artiodactyla; Bovidae.